CGUGUAUGUGAUCCACUGCAUAGCAGAUAGGGGAACGACUGCAAAGUGAUACGAGUACCACAUUAAUGUAGCAGUAAACAAGAGGGGGACCAAAUGUGUGGUUGAUUUUUUACCAUGUAUGAUGUAAUGAAAGCAAAAUGUAUCUAAGUAAUCUGGGUGAAUAUGUUGUGUGUUAUAAAUGUCUGUAUUAUUUUCAAUGUUUCUCUAUUCAUUUCCUCUUCAGCGAUAUCCAGCACCGCCGGAUCAGGACAAGGUGCAUGGCCAGAACGGCAAAAGGGCCCCAAUGCUCUAGGAAUGCUAAAGAACGGCUAGAAUACCGGGACUAUUGCCGGCAGCAUUCGAUAUCCAGCACCGCCGGAUCAGGACAAGGUGCAUGGCCAGAACGGCAAAAGGGCCCCAAUGCUCGAGGAAUGCUAAAGAACGGCUAGAAUACCGGGACUAUUGCCGGCUGCAUCCGAUAUCCAGCACCGCCGGAUCAGGACAAGGUGCAUGGCCAGAACGGCAAAAGGGCCCCAAUGCUCUAGGAAUGCUAAAGAACGGCUAGAAUACCGGGACUAUUGCCGGC
Molecule: long non-coding RNA, 565 nt
Organism: Strongylocentrotus purpuratus (purple sea urchin)
Lineage: Eukaryota; Metazoa; Echinodermata; Echinoidea; Camarodonta; Strongylocentrotidae
Exons: 3
Source: RefSeq, a predicted model, not a curated record